UACGUAGGCAGCGAGCGUUGUUCGGAGUUACUGGGCGUAAAGGGUGUGUAGGCGGCUCCCUAAGUUUGGUGUGAAAUCUCCCGGCUCAACCGGGAGGGUGCGCCGAAAACUGGGGGGCUAGAGUGCGGGAUGGGAAAGUGGAAUUCCUGGUGUAGCGGUGAAAUGCGUAGAUAUCAGGAGGAACACCGGUGGUGUAGACGGCUUUCUGGACCGUAACUGACGCUGAGGCACGAAAGCGUGGGUAGCAAACAGG
This 253-nucleotide ribosomal RNA is filed under the name uncultured bacterium. RNAcentral's name for it is "partial 16S ribosomal RNA". It matches the Rfam family "Bacterial small subunit ribosomal RNA", at positions 524 to 776 of the family's 1533-position model. The record is from RNAcentral.